This 253-nucleotide ribosomal RNA is filed under the name uncultured bacterium. Its description in RNAcentral is "partial 16S ribosomal RNA". It matches the Rfam family "Bacterial small subunit ribosomal RNA", at positions 524 to 776 of the family's 1533-position model. The record is from RNAcentral.
UACAGAGGUCUCAAGCGUUGUUCGGAUUCAUUGGGCGUAAAGGGUGCGUAGGUGGCGGGGUAAGUCGGAUGUGAAAUCUCAGGGCUCAACCCUGAAACUGCAUUCGAUACUGCCUUGCUCGAGGACUGGAGAGGAGAUUGGAAUUCACGGUGUAGCAGUGAAAUGCGUAGAUAUCGUGAGGAAGACCAGUGGCGAAGGCGGAUCUCUGGACCAAUAUUGACGCUGAGGAGCGAAAGCCAGGGGAGCAAACGGG